GAUGAACGCUGGCGGCGUGCCUAACACAUGCAAGUCGAGCGAAGCACUUUGCUUAGAUUCUUCGGAUGAAGAGGAUUGUGACUGAGCGGCGGACGGGUGAGUAACGCGUGGGUAACCUGCCUCAUACAGGGGGAUAACAGUUAGAAAUGACUGCUAAUACCGCAUAAGACCACAGCGCCGCAUGGUGCGGGGGUAAAAACUCCGGUGGUAUGAGAUGGACCCGCGUCUGAUUAGCUGGUUGGUAAGGUAACGGCUUACCAAGGCGACGAUCAGUAGCCGACCUGAGAGGGUGACCGGCCACAUUGGGACUGAGACACGGCCCAAACUCCUACGGGAGGCAGCAGUGGGGAAUAUUGCACAAUGGGGGAAACCCUGAUGCAGCGACGCCGCGUGAGCGAAGAAGUAUUUCGGUAUGUAAAGCUCUAUCAGCAGGGAAGAAAAUGACGGUAC
Molecule: ribosomal RNA, 450 nt
Filed under: uncultured bacterium
Lineage: Bacteria
Description: bacterial SSU rRNA
Rfam family: Bacterial small subunit ribosomal RNA
Source: RNAcentral